RNAcentral lists this long non-coding RNA (3217 nucleotides) under Mus pahari (shrew mouse). RNAcentral's name for it is "RIKEN cDNA 6430584L05 gene (MGP_PahariEiJ_G0005029.1)". Lineage: Eukaryota; Metazoa; Chordata; Mammalia; Rodentia; Muridae. The record is from RNAcentral.
AUGCGUAGCUCUGGGCUCUUGCUGGACAGAUGGCCUUCACAGAGGCCCUCCCAGACAUCCAGUGGCCUUGGAUAUCAUGAUGUGAGGGAGCAAUCAGGAUGAGGAAGACAAACUGUACAAGGCUACUGGCUACAGGGCUGAGUAAUGCAACGUCAGAUGAAUAAAGUGUGAACGAUGACACACAGUUACCUCGGGUACUGGGAGACAGAGCUUGAAGCAUGAAGAUUUGUUAAGCACUCGGUCCUCCCUGAACAGUACAGUUUGACUCUUGUCAGCUUGAGCAAACUUGGACUCUUUCUGGAAGACCUGGGUGAGAGGAGAACUUGGUGUCAUUAACCUCAUAAUGAGACAUGGAUUUGCUGAAGUGCCUUUCUCCUGAUUACUUAGGGAUCCUUGAGGGUCCAUUCCUUCCAGGCCCUGUUACCUGGCACACCCAGACUACAGCACAGCAUGUCUCCGAAAAAGACCUGCCUCUCCCCUUCCCCACCUGUUGCUGACCCAGGACCCUCAGAGCAAAGGGAGAAAACUCUCAGGGUUCAAGUAGCCAUGGAACACUCUCCACUAUGGUCCUGAAGACACCAGGGUGCUUUCCAAGACUCUAUCCUGAAUUGGUCUCCACUGAUGUUUAUCUCAGAUUCUAGGACCAAGCUUCUUAGCCUGCAGGCGAAUCACCCUCCUAGACUUUACAUUUUCAGAACCAGGAACAGCAGGGCAUGUGACAGCUGGAAAUACUGGUCCAGAUAGUCUAUUCACAGGUGAAUCAGGGCGGGAAUCAACACAGCUCUCGGAUCCUUUCGGUUCAGACAAAGAAACGGGGCCCUGAGGCCGGGUCUAGAAGGUAUGCUCACUCAGGCUCCUGCAUGACAUUCUAAGGAUCUUAACAUUGCAGAUUCUGAUCUAGGAUCAGCAUUUCUGUUACUGCAGUGGAACACAGAUGGAGGCCUCACAAGAACAAUGGUCAGAACCACAGGAAUCUAACUCCAUCUCCACCCUCUACCAGUGGGGUGACCUCUCACACAUUGCCUAACCUCUCUGGCCACCAGUUUCCUAAUCUAUAAGAUGAGGAUUGCAGUGGUACCUGUCUCCUGAGGUGGCCAGAGACACUAUAGAGAUAGCCUUUCCAAAGCCCAGCCCAGCAUCUGGCAAGAGACACAUGAUAAUUAAUUACCUCACACUUCCCCUCAAACCAGUGCAAACCAUAAUGAGCACUAGCGAUUCCAGCAAGCAUUUAAUUUAUUGACUUGGAAAAUGGAAGGGCUCUGUAUCAAGGGACCAUUUGGAUGGAGUUUUCAGAAAGAAGGAAUGCACAGAUGUCUUUUUUCUCCUCCAUAGAAAUUUCCUAGCACCAGCAAGGGGGUGCAGACUCACUCUGUCCCUCUUCAAACAGCCUACAGGAAGCGGGGGGGGGGGGCAGGCACGAAGUCAGACCACUGCUGACUUCUCCCUGGGGGCUUGCAAAAGUCAGGGAUGCCUUGACUCCUGCGUGCUUUUCUUGUUGUUGUUGUUGUUGUUGUUUUUUUCUCUAAUGACUUCUGCUGCAUGGGGAGCGGGGGUGGGGGGGGUGUUGUGGGGGUGGGGGGAGCAUCUCAGGAAGCCUUAGCAGAGGGCUAAGCAAAGAUGUGAGUUCUCCCCAGUGAUGGGAAUGGAGGAACCUCACUUGCCCAGCACAAAACACUAAAGGAACCCCCGCAAGCUCAGAACAGUAGCUCCCUUUGAUCGUGGACCAUCCUACGGUUCAAAAUAAACUUAUGGAUUCAGCAUAAUAGCCUAGUAAGAGAGAGACGAGCAACUAUUAAUAAAGAACAGCCAUAGCACACUGCAAUAAAAGGUGCAAGUACAUAGUCAUUUUCUUGGUCAGGGUAUCUUAAUGUACCGAGCCCACACAGUCUGGGAUGCUGUGGGUGACCUGAUGUCCGGGUGCUAAGAUGAAAAGCCGGGAAUGGUGCUGGAGAGCCCGCUAGGCUAUGAGGAGAGAGGGUUCUGGAAGGCAAAGCAUGUGAUGCUACGAGAAUGGAUUUGAGAGCCAGUACGGCUGUUCAGUGGCCGGUAGGCAAGUGGGAGUACACUCACAGUGGACACAAUAGACCAAUAGAUAAUUCCUGGUUCCUCCUGGAGGGAGUGUAUUGAGUUGGACAGUAUGAAUGUCAUCACAUUCCCCAGAUUAACUUGCUUAGUUCUGGAAUUUUCCACUUAGUGUUUUAGGCUUUGGUUGAGUAGAAGCAACUGAAAUCAAAGAAAGCUCAAGGGAGGGCUAUUGUAAUAUUUUAUUAGCAUGAUGUAUUAAAAGAUUAAAAAUUAGUUUUAAAAAUCCAUGAAAACCAAAGCAUCACACGUUCAAGCAGACGCCAAUCUGUGGCCCCUGAAAGCAGCUGCCUCCUGCCUAAUGUCCCCGAUCUUGAGGAUUAACUCCUCUGGGACCAGUGUUGUCUGUGGCUCUUAGAAUUCAGACUUCUGAAAGCUCCACAGUAGCUCAGCAAUGGGGCUGGGCCGCACCAGCCUUCUCUGGAAUGAAGUUAGGGGCCAGUAGACUAGGGAGACUCUGCUAAGGGGCCCCAACAUUUUGCUUUCCUGCAUCUAUCUAUAUGAGGCUCUUACUGUGGCUCACUUGUGUACAGAAACUUAAAGAACUAUGGACUGAUGCCAUAUAUGAACCUAUGCUGUCACUGAUGACACCAUAAGCUAGUGCUUCCCACUCCAGAUAUCGGGAGUCCUCCUUGCUGGUUUACCUCCUCUGCGACUUCCGGGCCCAGCCCAGUCUUCCCAGUUAUCUUCACGAUCAUCCAGUCCCAGGGGUCUUUCCCUCGAGCACACAUUUGAGAGUUGACUAUGUCCUGAGCUGUGGUGUAGCCACACAGUCUUGAAUUUUAAACUAGCAUCAGCAUACAUUCAAAGUUAAAUUGUGCUGAAAGGCUCAGAGUGAAGUGGAGGAGACUGCAAACAGGUCCACUUUCUCCACGCCCAGUCUCACCUCUAGGGUGCAGUCACUCAUAAUUCUUUUGGCCAUUUCCUCCCUUAUUUAGCUCCACUGUCCUCAAUAGGUGUAUACAUGGUUUCAUUCAUUCAUUCACUCAUUCAUUCAUUCGUUUGUUCUUUCAUUCACUUACCUUUUUAUGGCAAAUAUGGCUUCACUUCCUCAUGUCCUUUCUGUUCCCUUUCCCUCCCUCUUCUUAACCAGCUGUUUUGUUGUUGAAUAAAAGCAACUAUUUUUUUUUAAAGU